RNAcentral lists this ribosomal RNA (482 nucleotides) under uncultured bacterium. RNAcentral describes it as "partial 16S ribosomal RNA". It matches the Rfam family "Bacterial small subunit ribosomal RNA", at positions 30 to 507 of the family's 1533-position model. The record is from RNAcentral.
AUUGAACGCUGGCGGCAUGCCUUACACAUGCAAAUCGAACGGUAACGGGCCUUCGGGUGCCGACGAGUGGCGAACGGGUGAGUAAUACAUCGGAACGUGCCCGAUCGUGGGGGAUAACGAGGCGAAAGCUUUGCUAAUACCGCAUACGAUCUACGGAUGAAAGCAGGGGACCGCAAGGCCUUGCGCGGACGGAGCGGCCGAUGGCAGAUUAGGUAGUUGGGGGGAUAAAAGCUUACCAAGCCGACGAUCUGUAGCUGGUCUGAGAGGAUGAUCAGCCACACUGGGACUGAGACACGGCCCAGACUCCUACGGGAGGCAGCAGUGGGGAAUUUUGGACAAUGGGCGCAAGCCUGAUCCAGCCAUGCCGCGUGCAGGAUGAAGGCCUUCGGGUUGUAAACUGAUUUUGUACGGAACGAAAAGCCUUCUUUUAAUACAGGAGGGUCAUGACGGUACCGUAAGAAUAAGCACCGGCUAACUACGUG